AGUGGGAUUAUUGAGUUAUAUGGUAAUUUUAUUUUCAACUUUUUGAAGAACCACCAAGUUUUUUCCUACAGCAGCUGCAUCAUUUUACAAACUUACCAACAGU
Molecule: microRNA precursor, 103 nt
Filed under: Marmota monax (woodchuck)
Lineage: Eukaryota; Metazoa; Chordata; Mammalia; Rodentia; Sciuridae
Source: RNAcentral